AAACUUCCUUCAGCAGCUCAAAGCAUUUUCUGUUGCUGCGCUUCAUCUCACCUGUCUAUGUUCAGCCUGCUGCCCAAAUCUGCCGCUUCUUCUGAACCUGAAUAUCACAACUGUGUCAGACGGCAUUGGGGAAAAUGUGCCUACUAAAUCUGUCGCUGUCUCAUGGGAUAUUUUUAGCAGAAGAAAUUUUAAUCACUCUAAUCUCAGGAAAAUAGUCCUGCAGGCAAAAAAAAUUCUCAUUUAUCUAAGUAUUAAUUUCUACUGAUGAGAGUCAGAGAACCAUAAAAUGAAACUUUUAGUUCUGAGUAAAUUGAAUUUGAAAUUCAGGUUUAAAAAAUGUUUUAAAGAAAUGCUCAAUAUUUGGAAGGAACGAGGAGAAGGCACAUGUGCUACGUGCUGCAGAAGCAAAGCUUACCUCAGUUUUCAGACAGAUCUUCCAACCAGACUUCCCUUUCUUUAGAAGGCCUUGAGACCAAGCUGCUGGAGGCACCAGGCUGGAUAUACAGCUUCCUCACCAUCAGUUCAAGGUUAAACACAACACCGAGAGCUUGACAGAAGUGGUUUGUAUAAAAAACACCCUACCGAAAACUAGCCCCAAAGUGCUGGUGUUGUGUCAGAAAGCUUAUGUACAAAGCACUCAGACAAAAUACACCUUAUAAAAAUGUGUCGAUAUCUUAUGUCUCCUUAAUCAAGGCUCUUUGAUGAUAUAUUUGGACCUCUGAGUCAACAAUAGUCUUUCCCCUUAAAAGGUUUGCUUCUCUCCUCCAGCCAGCCUCCUUCUUCACACCCUUGUAUAGGUGCUUUUCUAAAUGACUUCCACUAUAAGUCUUCUUGCAUGUUAAUUACUGUAAGAUGGAUUCCUGAAUGUUAAUGAUAUUUCAAUAUAUUAAAUCUGUCAAUAAUUAUGGUGGGGUUUUUUGCCUCACUCCUUUAGUGAGAAUGAUUUGCAUUCAGUGCACUAAGUUCUAAUGCUUGACAGCUGAAGCUCAAUAUUUUUUGUAGGUUCAGUCACUGAAAGCUUCUAUUAAUUUAGGCAGUCAUUGAAAAAAAAAAUCUCAAAGUAAUAAUAUAAAGAACUAAGAUCAUAUUCACUAGAUACAUCCACAGAGGAAAAUCAUGUUCUUCAGUGUAUUUAUGCAUAAGUUUACCAUUUAUUUUAUUUCCAAUUCUCUGAUGUUUUUUCUGUGGUUCUUAUCAAACUUGUGACUCAGUGCUUCCUUAAUGAAUGUCUUUGAAGCUAUAGUCACCUUUCUGCUGGUUUAGGGAAUUUAAAAUAAAGCUGCUUUGCUAGCAGCCUAGUAGCAGUGUUAAAUGUGCAUUUCCAUUGCCACCACUUUUAAUGGUCUAUCCAGCCUUGUUCAAAGUGAGAGGAAGUUUUACAUCUACUAGAAAUUGAAGUGACUGGAAACAAUUUAUUGAGUCUUUAUCCACUCAGCUUGUCCAAUUCUUUCUUGACUGACUAGAAACUCAUGAUGAAAAUCACUAUCCAAGAUUUUUGCUCCUGAAUUUGAGUACCAUUUCCAUGAAUGAGCUUACUGACCCUCAGCAUUAUGUUUUGACUCAGUCUUAUACCUGAUGCCUUUAAAAGCAUCUCUGCAUUUGCAGUAUGUCACUUACUAGCAGUAAAUGAAAGCACUAUGACAUAAAGAAGAAAAUUGAGUAUUUCAAUUUGAGUAUCUCAAAAAAGUAAACAUCAAAAAGUUUUGACUCUGUCUUAUACAUAAUGCUUUACAUAUGCUUUCUUGCUCUUCUGUGUGUAUCAUUCAUUACUGAUGAACAAAAGCACUACAACUUUGGAAAGAAAAUUUAAGUCUCUAAAAUACUAAGCUUGAAAAAUGAAGAUAGGAUAUCUCAGAGGUAAUAAUUACUGAGAAUGGGAAACAUAGUGUGGUAGGGUUGGAAGUAUGGCUCAGAAGUGUUUGUACUUUUCCAUUAUGUAAGUCAAGGAAAAUAUUACCAACUGGAAGAAUUAUAAAGCAAUGAAGCAAGUCUCCUUUCAAACAGCGUGUUUUAUUUGAGUAUGAGGAUGCUCUGAGAAAUUAAAUUGCAUAUACCAGGACUUUUUGUGUACCUUAGUUACAUCAAAACAACUGUGUAAAUUUUUCAUAAAGUGUCUGUUAGAAGAUAUGUAUGUAAUUAAAGCCUACCACUGGAUUAGGGUGUUUGUAUGGUAGGACCACCACUACCCAGCACUGCCCUCAGAGUUCAGUGUAAUCAAUUCUUGCCCAUAAUACCUUAUAGUGACUAUAAACUCUUUUAGGACAGGGCCUUUUUUUUUUUUUUAGUGCUUAUACUUAUGCUGAAAAAAUAUGGGUCUGAUGCCUCUACAGGUUUCAACAACAUAAAUAGCUCUUGACACUGCUUUCAACAAUAUGGUUUAACUGAGAAACCACAGAUGCAUUGAAAGUAUUUUAGCUUGUAUUCUGAACUAAAAGAGUUCAAAAGGUGGGUUAUGUGAUAGUGUGUGUGGAAGGAUAAGUUAAGGCAGCAAAAUGGUGCUAUCCAGUGCAGCCUCAGUACUGCAGCAUUUAUCUAAAAUGAUUUGAAUGUACGACCAGCAAGGGAAAAUCUGCUGUUACUGAGCCUGUUAGUUUUGAAAAAAGAUGGAAUUUGGCAUGAGCCAGGCAAGAAGAACUGGCCUUGGGAAGUUUUAGUGAGCAAAAAAGAGUUGAAGUAUUACAUUUGGUUUCCUUUCUUCACCUUUGCAACCCCGUCCUGAGAGUCCUUGUGAACAUGGAAGUAGUCACCUAAUCUUCCAUUGAUUUUUUUUUAUGUGUUACAUCAGUAUUUGCAGGUUGAGGGCUUAAUGGAUGAGGUCUGUACCUGUUAUUAAUUUGUCUCAAGAACUGAAAGUGAACGAUAAGGAUUUUUGCCAUGAGUCUGUAUAGAUUGAUGCAUUUUUGCUGUUCAUGUCAAAACAACUUGUAACAGAAAUUCUUCUGCAAUGCAUAACAAGCAUAAAACAUUUUAAUGUUGUCAACAAUAAAUAAAAAUGAGUCUUACAACCUUA
Long non-coding RNA from Columba livia (rock pigeon), 3010 nucleotides. RefSeq lists it as uncharacterized. The transcript has 2 exons. Lineage: Eukaryota; Metazoa; Chordata; Aves; Columbiformes; Columbidae. The record is from RefSeq and is a predicted model, not a curated record.